Oreochromis niloticus (Nile tilapia) is the source of this 480-nucleotide long non-coding RNA. RefSeq lists it as uncharacterized. The record is from RefSeq and is a predicted model, not a curated record. Lineage: Eukaryota; Metazoa; Chordata; Actinopteri; Cichliformes; Cichlidae. The transcript is spliced from 3 exons.
GGCUCUUCAUACGACAGGGGCGCUGAGCUACUUGUCACUGGAAUAUUGAGUAACUCAAAUUUUUCCGGAACCCUGUCGUACCUUCACCCCUGGACCCCUAGACCCGUGAGCGCCAAAACAGAGAGAAUGAGGAGGAGCUUCUUCCCCCAGGCUAUUCUUCUAUCUUCUACCUCUGCUACACGUGCUGACAUAUUGCAUCUCUGUGUGGUUCUCGAGCUGCACAAUGGCAUACAAAGGGUCAUUACCGUCACCCAGAAAAUCAUUGGCAACCCCCUCCCCUCCCUGGAGGACCUCUACAGCACCUGCUGUCUCAAAAUGGGAUACAACAUUUCGAUAUAUGUUAUUUAUUAUGAUUACUUCUUGUCUUUCUUUUAGCAACAGUGUGCUUUUAGCUCCAAUUUCAUUGUAAUAUUAUACAAUGUAUGACUGCACAGUGACAACGAGUUAAAGAGUUAGAAUUUUUGUAAUAGACAAAUAACC